UGAGUAAUGCCUAGGAAAUUGCCCUGAUGUGGGGGAUAACCAUUGGAAACGAUGGCUAAUACCGCAUGAUGCCUACGGGCCAAAGAGGGGGACCUUCGGGCCUCUCGCGUCAGGAUAUGCCUAGGUGGGAUUAGCUAGUUGGUGAGGUAAGGGCUCACCAAGGCGACGAUCCCUAGCUGGUCUGAGAGGAUGAUCAGCCACACUGGAACUGAGACACGGUCCAGACUCCUACGGGAGGCAGCAGUGGGGAAUAUUGCACAAUGGGCGCAAGCCUGAUGCAGCCAUGCCGCGUGUGUGAAGAAGGCCUUCGGGUUGUAAAGCACUUUCAGUCGUGAGGAAGGUAGUGUAGUUAAUAGCUGCAUUAUUUGACGUUAGCGACAGAAGAAGCACCGGCUAACUCCGUGCCAGCAGCCGCGGUAAUACGGAGGGUGCGAGCGUUAAUCGGAAUUACUGGGCGUAAAGCGCAUGCAGGUGGUUUGUUAAGUCAGAUGUGAAAGCCCGGGGCUCAACCUCGGAAUUGCAUUUGAAACUGGCAGACUAGAGUACUGUAGAGGGGGGUAGAAUUUCAGGUGUAGCGGUGAAAUGCGUAGAGAUCUGAAGGAAUACCGGUGGCGAAGGCGGCCCCCUGGACAGAUACUGACACUCAGAUGCGAAAGCGUGGGGAGCAAACAGGAUUAGAUACCCUGGUAGUCCACGCCGUAAACGAUGUCUACUUGGAGGUUGUGGCCUUGAGCCGUGGCUUUCGGAGCUAACGCGUUAAGUAGACCGCCUGGGGAGUACGGUCGCAAGAUUAAAACUCAAAUGAAUUGACGGGGGCCCGCACAAGCGGUGGAGCAUGUGGUUUAAUUCGAUGCAACGCGAAGAACCUUACCUACUCUUGACAUCCAGAGAACUUUCCAGAGAUGGAUUGGUGCCUUCGGGAACUCUGAGACAGGUGCUGCAUGGCUGUCGUCAGCUCGUGUUGU
RNAcentral lists this ribosomal RNA (965 nucleotides) under Vibrio parahaemolyticus. RNAcentral describes it as "bacterial SSU rRNA". It matches the Rfam family "Bacterial small subunit ribosomal RNA", at positions 107 to 1068 of the family's 1533-position model. Lineage: Bacteria; Pseudomonadati; Pseudomonadota; Gammaproteobacteria; Vibrionales; Vibrionaceae. The record is from RNAcentral.